RNAcentral lists this ribosomal RNA (497 nucleotides) under uncultured bacterium. RNAcentral describes it as "partial 16S ribosomal RNA". It matches the Rfam family "Bacterial small subunit ribosomal RNA", at positions 28 to 507 of the family's 1533-position model. The record is from RNAcentral.
GAUGAACGCUGGCGGCGUGCCUAAUACAUGCAAGUCGAGCGAACAGACGAGGAGCUUGCUCCUCUGACGUUAGCGGCGGACGGGUGAGUAACACGUGGAUAACCUACCUAUAAGACUGGGAUAACUUCGGGAAACCGGAGCUAAUACCGGAUAAUAUAUUGAACCGCAUGGUUCAAUAGUGAAAGACGGUUUUGCUGUCACUUAUAGAUGGAUCCGCGCCGCAUUAGCUAGUUGGUAAGGUAACGGCUUACCAAGGCAACGAUGCGUAGCCGACCUGAGAGGGUGAUCGGCCACACUGGAGCGUGGACACGCUCCAGACUCCUACGGGAGGGAGCAGUAGGGAAUCUUCCGCAAUGGGCGAAAGCCUGACGGAGCAACGCCGCGUGAGUGAUGAAGGUCUUCGGAUCGUAAAACUCUGUUAUUAGGGAAGAACAAAUGUGUAAGUAACUAUGCACGUCUUGACGGUACCUAAUCAGAAAGCCACGGCUAACUACGUG